RNAcentral lists this ribosomal RNA (430 nucleotides) under Pseudomonadota bacterium. RNAcentral describes it as "Proteobacteria bacterium partial 16S ribosomal RNA". It matches the Rfam family "Bacterial small subunit ribosomal RNA", at positions 355 to 776 of the family's 1533-position model. Lineage: Bacteria; Pseudomonadati; Pseudomonadota. The record is from RNAcentral.
UGGGGAAUAUUGGACAAUGGGGGGAACCCUGAUCCAGCCAUGCCGCGUGUGUGAAGAAGGCCUUAUGGUUGUAAAGCACUUUAAGCGAGGAGGAGGGUACUGGUAUUAAUACUACCAGCUACUGGACGUUACUCGCAGAAUAAGCACCGGCUAACUCUGUGCCAGCAGCCGCGGUAAUACAGAGGGUGCGAGCGUUAAUCGGAUUUACUGGGCGUAAAGCGUGCGUAGGCGGCUAAUUGAGUCGGAUGUGAAAUCCCCGAGUUUAACUUGGGAAUUGCAUUCGAUACUGGUUAGCUAGAGUGUGGGAGAGGAUGGUAGAAUUCCAGGUGUAGCGGUGAAAUGCGUAGAGAUCUGGAGGAAUACCGAUGGCGAAGGCAGCCAUCUGGCCUAACACUGACGCUGAGGUACGAAAGCAUGGGGAGCAAACAGG